AGUGAACGCUGGCGGUAGGCCUAACACAUGCAAGUCGAACGGCAGCACAGUAAGAGCUUGCUCUUACGGGUGGCGAGUGGCGGACGGGUGAGGAAUACAUCGGAAUCUACUUUUUCGUGGGGGAUAACGUAGGGAAACUUACGCUAAUACCGCAUACGACCUACGGGUGAAAGCAGGGGAUCUUCGGACCUUGCGCGAUUGAAUGAGCCGAUGUCGGAUUAGCUAGUUGGCGGGGUAAAGGCCCACCAAGGCGACGAUCCGUAGCUGGUCUGAGAGAAUGGUCGGCCACACGGGAAGUGGGACGCGGACCAGACUACUACGGGAGGCAGCAGUGGGGAAUAUUAGACAAUGGGCGCAAGCCUGAUCCAGCCAUACCGCGUGGGUGAAGAAGGCCUUCGGGUUGUAAAGCCCUUUUGUUGGGAAAGAAAAGCAGCAGGUUAAUACCCCGCUGUUCUGACGGUACCCAAAGAAUAAGCACCGGCUAACUUCGUG
This 492-nucleotide ribosomal RNA is filed under the name uncultured bacterium. RNAcentral's name for it is "partial 16S ribosomal RNA". It matches the Rfam family "Bacterial small subunit ribosomal RNA", at positions 29 to 507 of the family's 1533-position model. The record is from RNAcentral.